RNAcentral lists this ribosomal RNA (401 nucleotides) under uncultured bacterium. Its description in RNAcentral is "bacterial SSU rRNA". It matches the Rfam family "Bacterial small subunit ribosomal RNA", at positions 356 to 774 of the family's 1533-position model. The record is from RNAcentral.
CGGGAAUUUUGGGCAAUGGGCGAAAGCCUGACCCAGCAACGCCGCGUGAGGGAUGAAGUAUUUCGGUAUGUAAACCUCGAAAGAAUGGGAAGAAUAAAUGACGGUACCAUUUAUAAGCUCCGGCUAACUACGUGCCAGCAGCCGCGGUAAUACGUAGGGAGCAAGCGUUGUUCGGAUUUACUGGGCGUAAAGGGCGCGUAGGCGGCGCGGUAAGUCACUUGUGAAAUCUCUGAGCUUAACUCAGAACGGCCAAGUGAUACUGCUGUGCUAGAGUGCGGAAGAGGCAACCGGAAUUCUUGGUGUAGCGGUGAAAUGCGUAGAUAUCAAGAGGAGCACCUGAGGCGAAGGCGGGUUGCUGGGCCGACACUGACGCUGAUGCGCGAAAGCCAGGGGAGCAAACG